Oxyura jamaicensis (ruddy duck) is the source of this 678-nucleotide long non-coding RNA. RefSeq lists it as uncharacterized. The record is from RefSeq and is a predicted model, not a curated record. The transcript is spliced from 3 exons. NCBI's taxonomy places the organism in Eukaryota, Metazoa, Chordata, Aves, Anseriformes, Anatidae.
GGGCAGUGAUGAGGCAUGAGGUACAGCUGUAGGGGCUCAUUUAAGGGGAUUUACUGCACCUGGCUAGAAGAGAAAAUUCCUGCACGUCUGGACCAUGCAGGGCUGUCUGCUUUGGAUGCUGUAUCAGACCGUGGCCUUCUCCUGAGCGGCUUUGUUCUCCUCCCCUCCUCGGUGCCGUGGCGGACAGUUUUCCUCUCCCCAUGGAAAGUUUGAAGAAAACCAGCCCUGCUCGCCUGCAUCCCCUUGCAUUGCAGUCGCUGACCCCACACGGGAUGGCGAGAGGCAGUGGGAUGCAGCAGGCGGUGCUCUGAGCACCAUGCAGCCCCGUGGGCGAUGGGAGCCUUCCCUCAUUCUUUUGGCUCAGGCUCAGGGGGGACUUUGUGGCAGUGCCACGUGCCAGGGAGGCUACUGUGAAUUGGCACCUCCAGGGCUUCCCCAGCCACGCUGGUGGUUUGGGCUGCACAGAUGAAGCUGGUUUUGGGUGUUUUCUUUCCUGUUCUGAUUUCACACUGAUGGUUGUCUAGUGCCAAACCCUACCACUUGGAGGAUGCUGGUGCUGCCACCAUUGCAUUGCUUGUGCAAAGGGGGCAUUUGGGACCGGGCGUAACAGAAGGAGACAAAUGGGCCCCAUAUUCAGUGGGAGAGUAGGAUGCAGGUUUUCUGGCUAAGGCCUGGAUU